AGGGUGUGCUCCGAGCAGGGAGCCCAGAGUAUGGCUCCUCUGUUUACAACACACCCAACAGGAAUCUGGGGCCAUUGUGAUGAAGGGGCACAACAUUUGUGCCUUCUCUGGGAGCAAGUGCCCUACAGGU
This is a small nucleolar RNA of Dipodomys ordii (Ord's kangaroo rat), 130 nucleotides long. NCBI's taxonomy places the organism in Eukaryota, Metazoa, Chordata, Mammalia, Rodentia, Heteromyidae. The record is from Ensembl.